RNAcentral lists this ribosomal RNA (995 nucleotides) under uncultured bacterium. RNAcentral's name for it is "bacterial SSU rRNA". It matches the Rfam family "Bacterial small subunit ribosomal RNA", at positions 28 to 1017 of the family's 1533-position model. The record is from RNAcentral.
AUUGAACGCUGGCGGCAGGCUUAACACAUGCAAGUCGAGCGGGGAUUGGGUGCUUGCACCUAAUCUUAGCGGCGGACGGGUGAGUAAUGCUUAGGAAUCUGCCAUUUAGUGGGGGACAACAUUCCGAAAGGGAUGCUAAUACCGCAUACGCCCUACGGGGGAAAGCAGGGGAUCUUCGGACCUUGCGCUAAAUGAUGAGCCUAAGUCGGAUUAGCUAGUUGGUGGGGUAAAGGCCUACCAAGGCGACGAUCUGUAGCGGGUCUGAGAGGAUGAUCCGCCACACUGGGACUGAGACACGGCCCAGACUCCUACGGGAGGCAGCAGUGGGGAAUAUUGGACAAUGGGCGGAAGCCUGAUCCAGCCAUGCCGCGUGUGUGAAGAAGGCCUUUUGGUUGUAAAGCACUUUAAGCGAGGAGGAGGCUACCUGGAUUAAUACUCUGGGAUAGUGGACGUUACUCGCAGAAUAAGCACCGGCUAACUCUGUGCCAGCAGCCGCGGUAAUACAGAGGGUGCGAGCGUUAAUCGGAUUUACUGGGCGUAAAGCGUGCGUAGGCGGCUGAUUAAGUCGGAUGUGAAAUCCCUGAGCUUAACUUAGGAAUUGCAUUCGAUACUGGUCAGCUAGAGUAUGGGAGAGGAUGGUAGAAUUCCAGGUGUAGCGGUGAAAUGCGUAGAGAUCUGGAGGAAUACCGAUGGCGAAGGCAGCCAUCUGGCCUAAUACUGACGCUGAGGUACGAAAGCAUGGGGAGCAAACAGGAUUAGAUACCCUGGUAGUCCAUGCCGUAAACGAUGUCUACUAGCCGUUGGGGCCUUUGAGGCUUUAGUGGCGCAGCUAACGCGAUAAGUAGACCGCCUGGGGAGUACGGUCGCAAGACUAAAACUCAAAUGAAUUGGCGGGGGCCCGCACAAGCGGUGGAGCAUGUGGUUUAAUUCGAUGCAACGCGAAGAACCUUACCUGGCCUUGACAUACUAGAAACUUUCCAGAGAUGGAUUGGUGC